GACGAACGCUGGCGGCGUGCUUAACACAUGCAAGUCGAACGAAGAGCGAUGGAAGCUUGCUUCUAUCAAUCUUAGUGGCGAACGGGUGAGUAACGCGUAAUCAACCUGCCCUUCAGAGGGGGACAACAGUUGGAAACGACUGCUCAUACCGCAUACGAUCCAAUCUCGGCAUCGGGACUGGAUGAAAGGUGGCCUCUAUUUAUAAGCUCUCACUGAAGGAGGGGAUUGCGUCUGAUUAGCUAGUUGGAGGGGUAACGGCCCACCAAGGCGAUGAUCAGUAGCCGGGCUGAGAGGAUGAACGGCCACAUUGGGACUGAGACACGGCCCAGACUCCUACGGGAGGCAGCAGUGGGGAAUCUUCCGCAAUGGACGAAAGUCUGACGGAGCAACGCCGCGUGAGGGAUGACGGCCUUCGGGUUGGAAAGCUCUGUUAAUCGGGACGAAUGGUUCUUGUGCGAAUAGUGCGAGGAUUUGACGGUACCGGAAGAGAAAGCCACGGCUAACUACGUG
This 510-nucleotide ribosomal RNA is filed under the name uncultured bacterium. Its description in RNAcentral is "partial 16S ribosomal RNA". It matches the Rfam family "Bacterial small subunit ribosomal RNA", at positions 28 to 507 of the family's 1533-position model. The record is from RNAcentral.